RNAcentral lists this ribosomal RNA (483 nucleotides) under Triticum aestivum (bread wheat). Its description in RNAcentral is "partial small subunit ribosomal RNA". Lineage: Eukaryota; Viridiplantae; Streptophyta; Magnoliopsida; Poales; Poaceae. The record is from RNAcentral.
AUGAAGGGGUACUUGGCGUGUCCGAGGUCUCCGGCCGUAGUGGUACUUGGUGAAAGGGAUCUCUGGAGGCGGCCUUGCGUCCCUGGAUUCGGUGACCUUGACAACGAUAAAAAAAAGGCAGCGGGGCAGCAUCAUGUAGAUGACGUAGGUGAUGGAGAGCUCAGCAAGAGGCGUCACAUGCAGGAAGCGGAGCCGGCUGGUCGACAUGGCGAGGACGAUGGCGAUUGUUGCUGGGGCUCCUGUUGGACGCGGAGGACGACGGAUGCGGGCGCUCGUGGUGGCACUGGGAGCGUGGCUCCAGCGAUGUUGCUCGCUGGUGGCGACCAGAGACAGAGGCAGGGUCUCGGCGAGGUUGGCGAGGCCGAGGCGGCGAGGCACGGUGCCAUGGCGAGGCGACGCCGCAGAAGAAGGCGCGACUGGUGGCGGAGGUCGCCGGGCGACGUGUGGACGAGACAAGGGGCCGCGGAGGAGUUCCUGAAGUAG